This is a long non-coding RNA of Poecilia latipinna (sailfin molly), 472 nucleotides long. RefSeq lists it as uncharacterized. The record is from RefSeq and is a predicted model, not a curated record. NCBI's taxonomy places the organism in Eukaryota, Metazoa, Chordata, Actinopteri, Cyprinodontiformes, Poeciliidae. The transcript has 3 exons.
AAUUGACCUUUAGACAAUGUUCUGUAUGAAUCCUUAUCUCUCCAGGGCUGCUGCUUUAUAAACCACAGUUCUCAGCUCAGCACACUUAGAAACAUUGCUUGUUUCAACUUCUUUUCAGUCUGCUUUGGAACAGCGAUGCUGCCUGAUUCAACUUCAGCUUUCCUUCUCCUAAGCGUCCUCCUUGUUCACUCCUCUGUUCUGUCAUGUCGGACUGGGACCCAAAUAGAGUGUGAUGCUGCUCCUUUUGUACCAGGACACAACCUGAUGGGGCAAGGUUUUGAUAUAGUCACACUGGAGAGGAAAAGAGCUCACGUGAUUGAUGUGAAGACUUACCUGACCGCUAGACACAGCUGUAUUCUCUGCUCCAACCCUCUUCAAAACGAUGUCUACCAAAAACUUCCAUCUUCUGUUGUGGACUUCCAUGCCAUCCCUCGAUGUAAUCCUGAAAUACACAACAGUUUUCAUACUUCUG